Molecule: ribosomal RNA, 452 nt
Filed under: uncultured bacterium
Lineage: Bacteria
Description: partial 16S ribosomal RNA
Rfam family: Bacterial small subunit ribosomal RNA
Source: RNAcentral
GAUGAACGCUGGUGGCGUGCCUAACACAUGCAAGUCGAGCGAUUCUCUUCGGAGAAGAGCGGCGGACGGGUGAGUAACGCGUGGGUAACCUGCCCUGUACACACGGAUAACAUACCGAAAGAUAUGCUAAUACGAGAUAACAUGCUUUUAUCGCAUGGUAGAAGUAUCAAAGCUUUUGCGGUACAGGAUGGACCCGCGUCUGAUUAGCUAGUUGGUGAGGUAACGGCUCACCAAGGCGACGAUCAGUAGCCGACCUGAGAGGGUGAUCGGCCACAUUGGAACUGAGACACGGUCCAAACUCCUACGGGAGGCAGCAGUGGGGAAUAUUGCACAAUGGGCGAAAGCCUGAUGCAGCAACGCCGCGUGAGCGAUGAAGGCCUUCGGGUCGUAAAGCUCUGUCCUCAAGGAAGAUAAUGACGGUACUUGAGGAGGAAGCCCCGGCUAACUACGUG